UUACGGGAGGCAGCAGUAAGGAAUAUUGGUCAAUGCCCGGAAGGGUGAACCGGCCAUCCCGCGUGAAGGAUGAAGGGGCUCUGCCUUGUAAACUUCUUUUGUAUGGGGCGAAAAAAGGGGAUUUAUCCUCGACUGACGGUACCAUAAGAAUAAGCACCGGCUAACUCCGUGCCAGCAGCCGCGGUAAU
This 188-nucleotide ribosomal RNA is filed under the name uncultured bacterium. RNAcentral describes it as "partial 16S ribosomal RNA". It matches the Rfam family "Bacterial small subunit ribosomal RNA", at positions 339 to 524 of the family's 1533-position model. The record is from RNAcentral.